Ornithorhynchus anatinus (platypus) is the source of this 339-nucleotide long non-coding RNA. RefSeq lists it as uncharacterized. The transcript is spliced from 2 exons. Lineage: Eukaryota; Metazoa; Chordata; Mammalia; Monotremata; Ornithorhynchidae. The record is from RefSeq and is a predicted model, not a curated record.
CUAGAGGGCCAUGACUACAGGCAAUUUCACACUUGUGUUUUCCCAGGAGAUCCCAGGUUGCCCUCCAUCUCCCUGCUUGGGCUGCUUGAAAGGAUGAAAAUCAAUUCUUAUGGCACCUGGUUUAACCCAGUGUCCAUGAGCCAAUGGUCUGGUAAAGGAAUUCGCCUCCUUACCUGGGAAAACUGGGCAAAGCUCCGAUCGGAAAACAGCGGCACGUGUCCAAGAAGCUCAUGACAGAUGUCCCUGAGAAAAACAUGUAGCAGAGGAGUUUAGGAUAAAGCGUGUGCAUGAAUCCUCUGCACACAGUAAGCACUCAAUAAAUAAGAUUGAAUGAAUGAA